This 527-nucleotide ribosomal RNA is filed under the name uncultured Staphylococcus sp. RNAcentral's name for it is "bacterial SSU rRNA". It matches the Rfam family "Bacterial small subunit ribosomal RNA", at positions 59 to 562 of the family's 1533-position model. Lineage: Bacteria; Bacillati; Bacillota; Bacilli; Caryophanales; Staphylococcaceae. The record is from RNAcentral.
AAGUCGAGCGAACGGACGAGAAGCUUGCUUCUCUGAUGUUAGCGGCGGACGGGUGAGUAACACGUGGAUAACCUACCUAUAAGACUGGGAUAACUUCGGGAAACCGGAGCUAAUACCGGAUAAUAUUUUGAACCGCAUGGUUCAAAAGUGAAAGACGGUCUUGCUGUCACUUAUAGAUGGAUCCGCGCUGCAUUAGCUAGUUGGUAAGGUAACGGCUUACCAAGGCAACGAUGCAUAGCCGACCUGAGAGGGUGAUCGGCCACACUGGAACUGAGACACGGUCCAGACUCCUACGGGAGGCAGCAGUAGGGAAUCUUCCGCAAUGGGCGAAAGCCUGACGGAGCAACGCCGCGUGUGUGAUGAAGGUCUUCGGAUCGUAAUAAUCUGUUAUUAGGGAAGUACAUAUGUGUAAGUAACUGUGCACAAUCUUGAAGGUACCUAAUCUAGAUAUAGCCUACGGCAAACUUACGUGCCAGCAGCCGCGGUUAUACGUAGGUGGCAAGCGUUAUCCGGAAUUAUUGGGCGUA